AGGUCACUUGAUAAAUGAUCAAAUGUAGUAUGUUAUUAAGUCGUUCUUUUGGGGCCAUUCAUGAGUGCCUUGAAGACCACAAUCAUUUCCGGGCUCCCAGUGGGGAGCCGUGUCUCCAUGAGGCAGGUAGAGAACCAACCUGAAGACCAUCCCACCACACACAAGGAUGAAACCUCGGUGCUCUGUCUAAAGCCAAGAUGUGUGUGCAUGCACUGUGUCCGUCCACGUCUACCCAAGGGCAUCGGCUGGCCAGAACUCUGCCUCCAUGACAGUCCACGAGCUUUGAGGGUAAAGAAUAUGACUUCUC
Molecule: long non-coding RNA, 307 nt
Filed under: Equus caballus (horse)
Lineage: Eukaryota; Metazoa; Chordata; Mammalia; Perissodactyla; Equidae
Description: lncRNA (ENSECAG00000055152.1)
Source: RNAcentral